GUCCAGCUCUAAUUCGCGCUGUUUCUAUGAGACCGCUAGCCGUUCACGUGCCGACACUGCUGCCAGCGCGGUAGCGAGCGCAACUACACGAUCAACCUUGUUGAAAUGAAAGCUUGUCUGCUUGUGUCAGUUUGCCGUGAAGCGUUGAUGUGUACGCGCGUCCCGUCCCGUCCUCUUGAUUGAGAGCUGUUGAUUAGGUUAGUUUCCUUUGUGAAUUGAGAGUCUCUUCUCCAGUGGUCUUCUCCAUUGCACGAGUUUAGCGUAUUCUCUUGUUCACUCAACUCUCAAGUAGUGUUUGUUGAUAGGGAACAAACCUGUGUGUGUGUGUGCUUCGUUUCAAAUCGGUGACAUUCGGCUAUUCUCGUAGCACUGGAAUAUCGUGCAACACCGUUCAAACUCUUCGAUAUAUAAUCUUCGUCAGUUUGAAAUCUAUUGACAGUGACAAUCUUUCGUGAUGUGACAUACUCAUUACAGUUUAUCUCAAAAUACAUUGUAGUGAUAUACAUUGUAGUGACAUACUCAUUACAGUUACAGAAAUACAGUGUGAUCCCAAAAUACAUUGUAGUGAUAUACAUUGUAGUGACAUACUCAUUACAGUUACUGAAAUACAUUGUAGUGAUAUACAUUGUAGUGACAUACUCAUUACAGUUACUGAAAUACAGUGUGAUCUCAAAAUGCAUUGCAGUGAUUUUAAAAAGCAGUGAUAGUGAAUUUGAUUAUUAUACAUAGUGCAGUUUCUUGAAAAUUAUCUCUGAUUAUUGGAUACCAAUCUUUCACAGAGAGGAUAUCAUCCCCACCUCCAUCGUUGAUCGGUUCCUCCUCAUCUUCCUCAAACCUUCUACUCAACGGAGGUCUCGGAGGAGUAGUAGUAGGAGGAGGAGGAAGCAGCUCUAGCAGCUCUCUACACCAACAGC
Long non-coding RNA from Nilaparvata lugens (brown planthopper), 914 nucleotides. RefSeq lists it as uncharacterized. The transcript is spliced from 3 exons. The record is from RefSeq and is a predicted model, not a curated record. Lineage: Eukaryota; Metazoa; Arthropoda; Insecta; Hemiptera; Delphacidae.